GCGUUGCAUGGCUGACUAGCUAUUUUUCUAAGUUUUAGAGAUUAAGUUCCGUUAUUAAUAACAGAGCAUUCACUGGCUAAGAUUACAUUUUAUUACCUUUGGGGCUCACUCUUGGAGCAAUUCCGCUUUUUAAAUAUUUAGUAUAUAAUACUAAAUAUUAUAAAAAAAAAGGGACCAAGUUUAGCUUCAAAGUGAUUUUAAAAUUAUAUAGAAAGCUGCACAAGUCCUCAUGGCCCUAUGAUUUGGGCCUCACGUUUGCUACAAUGAUUGGCAUAAUAGAAAAACCAACCUUAGUUCAGAUUAAAUUCUGCAAUUGAAUUUAUAAAGGAGGAAUCGCGAUUAAUCGAAAAUCAGACAAGUUUCGGUGAAGUUCUUGCAUUAUUUAAACACAAAUUAUAGAAAAUAUCUAAUAUAUUUUGCUUUGGGGGUAUCCGCCACUUUUUUCUAAACCCCCCCAAUGUUUAAGUAACCUUUUUAAUUGAUCUCGUACUCACUGCCCGUCAAAUCCUUAGAGUUCUUUUGUCGUUAAAUUAUGUUAAAUACUUUUUUAGUUCAACGUAUAUAGCGAAGAGGGGAUAAUAGGGGUUAAGUCGUAACAUGGUUAGAUUUUGGGAACUAGAUCUAGAAAUAAUUAUAAUU
This 639-nucleotide ribosomal RNA is filed under the name Limnomonas spitsbergensis. Its description in RNAcentral is "small subunit ribosomal RNA". It matches the Rfam family "Bacterial small subunit ribosomal RNA", at positions 1038 to 1533 of the family's 1533-position model. Lineage: Eukaryota; Viridiplantae; Chlorophyta; Chlorophyceae; Chlamydomonadales. The record is from RNAcentral.